RNAcentral lists this ribosomal RNA (253 nucleotides) under uncultured bacterium. RNAcentral describes it as "partial 16S ribosomal RNA". It matches the Rfam family "Bacterial small subunit ribosomal RNA", at positions 524 to 776 of the family's 1533-position model. The record is from RNAcentral.
UACGUAGGGUGCGAGCGUUAAUCGGAAUGACUGGGCGUAAAGGGCGCGUAGGCGGUUUUUUAAGUGAGGCGUGAAAGCCCUGGGCUUAACCCAGGAGGUGCGUUUCAUACUGGAAGACUUGAGUACGAGAGAGGUAAGUGGAAUUCCUAGUGUAGAGGUGAAAUUCGUAGAUAUUAGGAAGAACACCAGUGGCGAAGGCGGCUUACUGGCUCGUAACUGACGCUGAGGCGCGAAAGCGUGGGGAGCAAACAGG